RNAcentral lists this transfer RNA (69 nucleotides) under Dryoscopus gambensis. It matches the Rfam family "tRNA". Rfam says of the family: Transfer RNA (tRNA) molecules are approximately 80 nucleotides in length. Their secondary structure includes four short double-helical elements and three loops (D, anti-codon, and T loops). Lineage: Eukaryota; Metazoa; Chordata; Aves; Passeriformes; Malaconotidae. The record is from Rfam by way of RNAcentral. RNAcentral also lists the same sequence under 1 other name.
GAGGUCCUAGCUUAAUUAAAGUGUUUGGGUUGCAUUCAAAGAAUGCAGGUUAAUGUCCUGCGGACCUUA